UAUAAGGGCCGAAAACCUAUCUUUGGAUAACCCCUCAUUCAUCUGCUAAAACCUCCAUAAGGAUAAAGCAUACCAUAAUGAAUUAUCAGUACAAGUAUAAACUAUUCCCAAACUACCAAUCAUGCUUCAGCAUCGUACACACAGGGUCCAGCAUAGAGGUCAAAGAUUGGCUUUUUAGUUGGAUAUCCUUUGAUAAAAUUAUAAUAAAUGUUGGAACUUUGGACAGCAUACUAUAACUUCAAAUCCUUCAACUAUAUUAGUGCAAAG
RNAcentral lists this unclassified non-coding RNA (267 nucleotides) under Hevea brasiliensis (rubber tree). Lineage: Eukaryota; Viridiplantae; Streptophyta; Magnoliopsida; Malpighiales; Euphorbiaceae. The record is from RNAcentral.